Molecule: non-coding RNA, 144 nt
Organism: Gossypium hirsutum (cotton)
Lineage: Eukaryota; Viridiplantae; Streptophyta; Magnoliopsida; Malvales; Malvaceae
Source: Rfam
UAUUAAAAUUUUUAUCAAUUUAUAUUGUUAAAAACUAAAAUGCAUGGUGAAAUAACUAGACAAUGACACAUGGUUUGUUAUUGUACCUCAUGCUAAUGUUUAAGGACUAGUUUUCAAGAACAGAAAUAAAUGAAAUUUUUAACA